AUACUUACCUGGACGGGGUUAAUAGAUGAUCAUGAAGGUCUAUGGCCUAGGGUAGUGACCUUCAUUGCACUUGGAAAGGGUACUACUCUAAGGUCUGUCCAAGUGAUAGAGCCUACGUCAUAAUUUGUGGUAGUGGGGCUUGCGUUCGCGCAGCCCCUUC
Vigna unguiculata (cowpea) is the source of this 160-nucleotide small nuclear RNA. RefSeq annotates it as U1 spliceosomal RNA. The record is from RefSeq and is a predicted model, not a curated record. NCBI's taxonomy places the organism in Eukaryota, Viridiplantae, Streptophyta, Magnoliopsida, Fabales, Fabaceae.